Molecule: ribosomal RNA, 275 nt
Filed under: uncultured bacterium
Lineage: Bacteria
Description: partial 16S ribosomal RNA
Rfam family: Bacterial small subunit ribosomal RNA
Source: RNAcentral
CCUACGGGUGGCUGCAGUGAGGAAUAUUGGUCAAUGGGGGCAACCCUGAACCAGCAACGCCGCGUGGGUGAUGAAGGUUUUCGGAUCGUAAAGCCCUUUUGCAGGUGACGAGGAAGGACGGUAGCCUGCGAAUAAGUGUCGGCUAACUACGUGCCAGCAGCCGCGGUAAAACGUAGGACACAAGCGUUAUCCGGAAUUACUGGGCGUAAAGCGCCAGCAGGCGGUUGCCUAAGUCGAUGGUGAAAGCGCCAGGCUAAACCUGGAGAGGUCCGUCG